GAACACCCUGAUCAGAUUAUUAAUCAGCCGUGAGAAAGUGGAGAUUUAAAACAGGAGGUGGCAGCCUUGAGUAGCAACUCAGUGCUGUCUCUGCCUAGUUAGGCUCAGAUCCAAAUGGAGUCAGAGCUGGGCACAAACAGCUCAGCAUCUCAGCCCUUUUUCUGAAACAUCACUACGGCAAGCAGCCCGGAUAGUGAAGAUGGCAACAACUAGCUUUGUCGGUGUUGCUUGAUGCAUGUGAAAAGUCUUCAUUUGAAAGUUUGCUAAGCAACAAAUCCUUCAAAUAGAACAGCUUCAACUCUGCUCUGCCUUGAAAGCACACAUUCAUGAAGAAACUGGAGAGCUGCUUCAUCAGUGCCAAUCCAGUCUGUGGUUGGUCUCAUGAAAAGGCUCUUACUGAUGAAUUGGUGCAGCUACCCUCCCAGACAUGGAAGAAUACCUCAUACAAAAAAAUCCAUAGGUGACUAAUAGGUGUGGCAGACACCAGCCCUGAAGGUACAUGAAGAAUGUCCCCCAAACUGGCAUCUGAUACUGUUCCCUGCAUUGGAUCCUGUUAGCAGGGAAACAAGUGAGGCGUCUCUGACCUCCCAGUGUUCAGGACAAACCACAAAUAACCCCUGAAGGCAGGAGGAGGGACAGGACAGAAU
Molecule: long non-coding RNA, 647 nt
Filed under: Junco hyemalis (dark-eyed junco)
Lineage: Eukaryota; Metazoa; Chordata; Aves; Passeriformes; Passerellidae
Description: lncRNA (ENSJHYG00000002741.1)
Source: RNAcentral